GGGGCAGCUCCCAAAUCCCCAGCAUGAAGCCCUCCAUCUCCUCCUCAUUUUAAAGCCUGGUAGGCUUCUCUUUUCUUUUGUUUUUUUCUUUCCUGGUAGCUGGAGUUUUGACAAUAGCUGGCAUAAAUGCUAUUUGGUCUUAGCAAUGCUUCUAUUUUUUGUUUCCAUGUGAUUUUAAAUGCUUGUGAGUGUGCUGAGUGAAGCGCCCUGCUAGGCUGAGCUCAGCAGUGCUCCUCCUGUGCUUCUCUAGCAGUGCAGGAUGGGGGCAUCCCCGUGGGGCUGCAGGCUCCCUCUUACCCCCAUCCACUCCCUGCACUCUGCCUGGCAGGCAGCUGAAACAUCCCCUUGAAGGGAAAAAAUAACCCCUUUUUGUACCCUUCUUGAGCCCCUGCACACCCUCGUUGUUUAUGUUCAAUCCGGCACACUCCGUUUUGCGGGCCAGCUCGGUGACCAGGUGCAGGCACCCUGAGCAGUUUUCCGUUGAAGCCGUAGCCGUAUACAUUUGCUCAUCAUAGUUUCCACUGCCCAUUGGAAAAAAAUAGGUGAGUGUUAUGACUGCCAGUGCUGCCUUCGGAGAGGGAGAGAUUUAAUUCAGCGCCGCGUCAGUGCGUUCGGCAUCGCCUCUGGGCAGAGGCACUGCAAGACCCGCACGGUGGAGCUCCUCCAGCCCCAGGGUGCUGGUUUAUGGAGCCACGGACCCUGCUGAGCCCCUGCCAAAGAAGGGAAUGAGCUCUUGGUGCAUAACACAAGGAUACCAGCUCCGCUGCUUGAUGGUGAUACCCCAGGUGCUGGCAGGAGGCACGGUGUUGGGCGCACACUGCCACAGCACCUCCUCAGACCAGAUCCAGAAGGGAAACAAGCGAGGAUUUCCCAGGCUUUGCUGCUUUUGGUCAAACCAGCCAUUCCCUGGCAGGCCACCGCUCCCACCUGCAGCUUUACAGAGCCCUUUGGAAAGAAAUGUGUGUGUCUGGCAGGGGUUGGGAAGGGAAAAGUGGAGGUACCUGCUUUUACGAGCUUUGGAAAGUUGUACACGUUUUGGAGGAGUUCUGGGGGGAAGGUUUGAGGCCAUCCUGGCUGAUCCCCUGGUUUGGGGGCAGUCACAGGAAACAGGGGCUGCCCAGGGCUGGGAGCUGCCUCCCCAUCCCGGCUCACCAGGGGCUUCCUGCAGCUGCCACUUUUGCCCGAUGUGCCGUUUUACUUGCCCUGGGUGUCCCCACAAGCCAGCACCAACGAGGCCGGUUCCCAGAGGCCGUGCUGGCGGCACCAGCCCCGCGCCUGGCUGAGAGCCCGAGUGCCCUGCUCCUGCCAUGAGUCACACCAGUGGCACCAGCCCCUCUCCCGCUGGGCUAAAGAGAAAGAAAAAGCAGGAAUGUUUCAUCUUUGAGACUGAUUAAAAAUGUUUAUCAGGGGGUGACUCAGGGGACGGCAAUUCUGCCCAUCCUCACCUGGCUGCUCACAGAGCAAGGGAACGCCAGCAGUGAAUUCCAGAGGCUUUAUGCAUCGCCCGGGUGGCCACCCUCAUCAGGACCCACACCCAAAACCUUCACCCAGAGGCGGCUGUCAGAUGCUGCCGAGAGUGGGGCUGCUCCCGGAGCAGGAUCUGGAGCAGGAGAACGUUCCUGGUCCUGGCUGUGGUGGGAGAAGGUUGCUGGAGGUGUUGGCUCCCUCCAUGACCUCGUUGGUGAUGGUCACACAUCCAAACUCUCAUGGGAAAUCGAUUAUUUUGGAGUGGCAGAGGGAACUGCCUGUGUCAGAGCAAGCUUGAGACCUUGAAAUUCCCCUCAUCAAUCCUCCUGGGAAUAAAUGAGCAUCAGAGCCGCAGACAGCGGUCCUCUCUGAGGCUGGAGCCUGCAAAUGUCCCCAGGGUCCUGUCCCCGCCGGGCAAAGCAGAGGCUCAGAUCCUACAGCCCAUGUGGAGCCGGGUAUCUGCCCUCAGAUGUGCUGCCAGUGCCACCUGCGGUGUGGUUAUGGCAAGCGCGUGGCCUGAGAUCUCGCACAGUGUGAGCAAUCGUCCUGUUCCUAACCACAGCACGGAGGCAGCUCGGGUCAACUCGCCCUUGGCACGCACCAGCAGGCAGGUGGGGCUGGUAGGGCUGCGGGAUUUCCACGGGUAUAAAGGAAAUUGCUCAUCAAAGCAGCAAAUGUUCCUGCUAAAGCCCCUAUUGAUGUCAGGGGGAGAUGGUCAGGAGGCAACACGCUGCUCCUCCCUCCAGCAUUUCUGGACACACAGUUUGCAGACAUCCUAUAGCAAGGCUGGAAAUUAGCGGCUCUGCAUGCAGUUAGCCUCAGACCGAGGAGGGAACAGGGGCACCUCCUGCAGUCCAUGGCUGCGCUCUGCUCAUCCCACAAAUGAGAACGCCAAGUGGGAGAAGAAACUUCACAAACCUCUGCAGUGGGACUGGGGCAGAGCCCUGCCAGCUCCAUCUCAGCGUGCCCACCAGCCCCAGCCAGCGCCGAUGCUGGGAGCAUCACAGCACCCGGAGCCAUCCAGAGCCCCCUUCUGGUGCCAGAAGAGUGAAGAAACCCCCCGCGAGAUGAGAGAGGCCCCGCCAGCCCCGCUGCCGUGCUUUCGACUUCUUGCAAUAGCCAGCGGGAACUGCAAUUAACGUCUGCUGCAAUUUCUUCAUUAUCAUAAUGACAGUGCUCAGCAAAAUAUACGGGAGACAUUGACGGUGACGCCCAGAUGCUGGAACCAUACGAUGCCACAUGGAAAAUCAUGGCAGGGUAUAAAAACUAGGCUUUUAUAUGGUACAGCUGCCUCUGCAUAAUGCCCUUGUAAUUUAUCAGUGUACAGCAUCUGGUUCUUUGCUGUCAUUCUUCGACUUUCAGACAACCAUAAUCUCAAGUGUCUUAAUAAUAACACAGACCUGCCAGACAGGGGGAGGAGGAGGCUGGGGAGGGGGCGGCGAGCAGAACGGCUCCUUUUGUGCCGUUUAUCCUAACUGAGAGGGGGAAAAAAAAUAAAAAACAAAACAAAAAAAAAAAAAAAAACAAAAAAAAAAAAAAAAAAAAAAAAAAAACAGAAAAAGGGUGAGCAUGGUGGGGACUGGGAGCGCUGCGGGGCAGGAAGGUGAGGGCUGCUGGCAGAGGGGCUAGGGCAGGGCCUGCAGGACCCUGCCUUCAGGGGCACGAUGCAGAAGCUGCUGCUUUGGCCUGGAAGAGUGCCAGGCAUUGGCUCUUUCUGGGGCUAAUUUUGCUUUGUAGGUCUAAUGAAAACCACUCGGCCGAGCCUGUGGUUGGAGUGUGUGCACGAUGGUGGUGCAGGGCCUGGCCCCACAGAGCUUGCUGGGGCUCAGCCACCAGCCCAGGGGUGGUGUGGGCUGCAGGGCCAGCACCAGGCCUCCCAAAAAACGCUGCUAUGAGCGUAGGGCAUCAGCCCUGGGGCUGCAAACACUGGGGUGGCUACAAAACCACCGCACUGCAAACCAGGCCCACCUGUCCCUCCUCCAUUGUGGAGGGGCUGUCGUGGGUCCAGGGGGGGUGUAAAUCCACCCAUGUCACCGCCGUUGGGUCGUGCUCACUGUGGGGCAAGAAUGGGGGCCGUGAGACACUGCCAGGUGGGUCUCAGCACCCCGUACAUCUGUGGGACUCCAGCUGUGGGGCUGUGAGGCCACGGACCAUGUCAGGCUGCCUGCUGCCACCACGAGGUGGCGAGCAAAGGAGCCCAUGAGUGGCCGGGCUGUCCUGUGGGAAGGGCACUCAGCCUGCGGCAGGGCGAGCUGGGGGCUCGAUUUUUCCAUGAGCAGAGAUGAAUGCGAGGUGGGAGCACACAUGAGGGCACCUGUGGGAGGGCUCACUGAGAACCAGGAUGUCCAAAAGGAGCAGAGCAGGGCUUGGGAGCAUAGGGCAGGGCAUCCUGUGGCCCCCCAACUGAACCCCAAGGGGAAGGCUGGUACUUUCCAUCCCCAGCCUCCAUCUUCUUCCCCAUCUUCUGCAGCUGGGCUAGGGGGGAGCAGGCUGGGGGAGCCCUGUUAGUGCUAAUGAGCUACGUCUGGAAGGGGGAGGCUCCACCAGAAGGAGCUGGGCUGGGGCUGCUGCUGAGGGGUCUUCCUGGGCGCUGUGAAUAUGCUACCACAGAAGGAAAACAGCUUUGAUGAAUAUUUCAAGCGCUUUGUAACACUGGAAGCGACAAGAGGAGAGAGAAGCUGAUUGUGCAGAAAUAAAGCCAGGCUACAUCUAAAGGUACAGCAACUGACCCCAUCUGAAGAGGAGGGAGGAAAGGAAAUUUUUUUGCUGUUGGGGAAGCAAAAGGCCUGAGCUGUAAAGCCAGUGGUGAUUUGUCAGACACCCAUGAUGAAGCAGAAAAGUUCCAAGAAAACCCAAGGAUCCAAAAUCUCAAAUGACUGCUCCACAUCAGAAAAAAAAGGAGAAAAAGCAGUCUUCAAAUGUGAUUUGUGCACAUUCACCUCACUCAGCAUAUCAAGUAUUAACCAUCGCAUGAAAAUUCGUUCUGAAGAAAAAUAUCAUGUGUGUCACCUCUGCCUUAAGGCUUUUCAUUCAGCUACUCUCCUGCAUAACCAUGUGAAUGCACAUACAGGCUCUGCCUAUCACUAGUUUUAUCCCUGCCCUGCCCACACAGCAACAUUCACAGCUAAUGGGAAGAAUGCAAAGUGACCUUGCUGUUUGCUUUGAUAAGAAAGAGCCUUGCUUUUAUUACCAGCUAAUCAAAUGGAUUCAGAUUGAUGAAACCUUUAUGAAAUCAGCUGAAGCCCUGUAGCCUUGAAAGAAACAGAUUCAAGACCAGAUGCUAUAUUUAGAAACUGAAAAUGCUUGUUUAAAUUACUCUAACUUGAGAAAAUAUAUCUUGCCUGAAUACAUGAGUACUCUUGCUUAAUAAAUAACUUGCAAAAGUCCUUGAGCUGCGUGAUACAGAGAUCGUUCGCAAUGCAGUGAGGAAGUGAUGAAACUUGGUCUCUUCUAAGCCACGCUCUCGGGGACAUACAGCUUGCCUGGGAAGCAGAACGAACUUGGCAUAUAUAUAUGCCCAAGGGAUAAGAAGCAAAAUGUUUGUUUUGAAAAAAAGUUAGUGUUCAAAAAAAAGCUACAUAAAGUUUCCUGUUAACCAGCCAUUAGUAAGGAAGGGAUGAUGUUGACUGCUGCAGCUGCAUUGUCGCUAAAUUAGUGUGGGCUUAAAUCAUUCCUCUGGCUCAGGAAGUCCCUGAAGAGACUGUGUAACCCAAUAGGAUAUUCUGGGUCUGCUCAUGUCGUGUUUACCUUGCUCAUAGUACUCCUCUCUGUAGAUCUGCUGCUGGCUGGGGCUGGAAACAGAUUUUGAAGAAAAAGAAUGCUGGAGAUAUGGAAGGUGGUGACAGUGACAGCAUCCCAAGUCUAGAAGGUGAUACUGUGCAGAUUCUGGAUAACUGUGAUGAGAGGACAUAUUCAGAUUAUGGUACAUGAUACGGAUAAAGAAGAUUCUGUAACAGUGGAGUCAGUGGAAAGGCAAGUAGUCAUCUUGAAACUCCUCCUUGAGCUCCAGCUUUACUUAAUGUGCUCGCAUGGACGAAGCUAAAGUAAACACGGCCAGCUGAUGUGACUCAGGAAGGCAAAUGGACGCUGUGGCUGCCGAGCCACAGUGCCCCAGUGUUUAUCUAGAGGGAGAGAUUAAACGGGAACCACUCAGGCAUGCUUAGUCCGGGUUUCAAGGAUCUUCUGAGUGUUAAACAUGUAUUAAGACACUCGGCGCUAUUUUCAAAGUGAGACGUGUUCCUCGCCACUUUACAAUAGGCCACGCUCCCUGGCUUUGCAUGUCUGAACGCCCCUAGAAACCUGCUGCUGGGACCUGGGGGCUCAUCGAGGCAAUGGCAGUGAGUGAGCCGGCUGCCGAGCAGCUGCUGAACGAGGGCUUUGAGCCCACCUCGCCCAGCCCUCCUCCAGGAUAUUCCCCCUUGAGCUCCUCUAUCUGGUUGCUGUUGGAAGCCGGCUGGCUCCUGCAAGACACUGCAAGGCACCCUUCAAUAAAAGUGGAUAAAAAGCUGGGACACACAGGGCUGGUGCAGGAGGUGCCCAGGGACCAGCACAUGGGGGACAAACACUGGCACAGCCCUGCUGAAUCCUGCAAACCCACGGCUUGAUGCUGAGGCUGCGGAUUGAAGGCGGCCGCAGGAUGGAGGGAAAAUAUUUACUUUGUGUGUAUGCAUAAGGAUUUUUGUAUAUAAAUGCUAUAUAUGUGUGUUUAAACUUAUCUGUAUGUAAUUAUAUUUCUAAAUUAUAUGUAGGAAUUUUAAUAUCUGCACAAACAAAUAAAUACACUCGUGCACAUGUAUUUUGGGAUCGCUAGAGGAAGGUGUGGAAGCCCUAAGUCCCUCUUCAGCCCAACACCAGCACCUCGCCCUGUCCUGGCCCUGGGUUUGGAGGCCGAGAACUGUGACCCCCCUGUCUGUGAGGUCUCCCCCUCCGACAUCUCCACCGCGGGCCUCCAGCCCCAGCACCGCCAGGCUCCUGAGCACGCCCCGCGGCUGGUAAAUCAGAGCCUGCACUUGCCUCCCACCCCACCCAGCCUUAUCUGGGCCAUCGCCCCCUCGCCGUGCCCCGCUGCCCCCCCAUUUGUGGGUGUCAGACCCCCAGUAACACCGCCAGUGCCACCAGCAGCUCCGCAUCGCGGGGCUUUGCAGCUCUGCUGUUAUCCUGUGCAAGGUCCUGCUUUGGGGAUUACUGAUGGAGCUGAAACGCCACAAAAUGUAGUGCGUGUGUGUGUGGGGAAAACAUAAAAACAUUAAAAAAAAUCCUCAGGAACCCUCCCCUUCCCGGCCAGGUCGCCCCUGCAGCGGUCACUGCCCAGCUCAGGAGCAGGACCAAGUUCUGUGCCACCAAGGGGAAGCUGUGACUGCUCCACCCCCCUCCCUAUAAUUUUAGGAUGUUUCCCACACCAGCCCGGCCGUUUGCAGAGGCACGGUGGUAUCAGCAGCCCGCAGGUCUAUCGGGCCAAGCAGAAGCUUUUCCAGGAACUAUCUCGUGCAGCACAUGACCAGCCCCGGCUGGCGAUACGUGACCGGCAUGCCGCGGGUCCCUGCUGCAGGCAGUUGACUUUGCUGUUCAUACUAUUUUAGUGAUGGGUUUUUUAAUCCUGGGCUUAAGUUUUUCUCUUUCUUUCUUUUUUUUCUUUUUUUUUUUUUUUUUUUCUCUCUUCCCUUUUUUUCUCUCUGAACAAGGGAAUCUCUAAGCUGGCAGGAUUCAGAGAGGCACAAAGGAGGGAAAAACAAGUUUCAGCCAGAAGUGGGAGAGAAAGAAAAGGAUGCUGUUAGCAUUCCCUGGAUGCAAGGGGGCAAAACUGUUUUGCUGUGAACUUGAUUUUAAAGGGCAAGUGCCACCAGCGGCCCAGUUACUGCACACAGAAAUCCUGGGUUCAGCCUUCCCCUCUCAGGGGUGAAGUUUUGGCUUUGCCUUAGGAAUGGGACUGUGGGCAGGCUGUGCUGUGGCGCCCUGUUCCCAUGGGGAUGCCACCGUCCCUUAGGGCUGGGGGUGAUGGUGCAGGCCUGGGGGGCUCCCCACCUGUCCUUGGCACCUUGGGGGUGUCUUGACACGUUGCUGCAGGCCAGUGUUGGGAUGGGAGCCAAUGCCGGGCUCAUCCCAGACUUUGGUGCUGGUAUUUAUGGUGGUGAUGUGCUUCAACUCACGGUGCUCACGGCUCAGCUGGGCAGCCUGAUGUGCUGGGAAAACACAUCCUAGGGAAAACAGCUGAAUUUGUCUUGCAAAUGACCGGACCCAGCCCUGGGACACCUGUGCCCCACAGCUGGUGCUGCUUGAGCUGCCCUGCCAAAAUCACCCCCCUAAAAGCCAUUCCCCUUCAAAAAAAAAUCAUCCUCACCACUCUUCCUGCAUCCCUCUGGCCACGUUUUGCUGCACCAAAGCUCCUACAGCAGCACCCCAUGCUCACCCCAUGCCCACCCCAGCCACAAGGAGCAGAGCUCUUCUUACCUCAUACCAGCACAAUGAAAUAAAGUAAAAUAAGAUACAAUACAAAAUCGAAUAAUAAAAUAAAAUACAAAAUCGAAAAAUAAAAUAAAAUAAAAUAAUAAUAAAUAAAUAAAUAAACCUUUUAAGCCAUUGCAAUUCAAUUUAAGCACUUUUCCCUGUACCCAGACCAGCACUCAGCAAUCCUGUGGGCUUUCCAGACUUCCCCAGCGCUGGGUGAAGGAGGUGCUCGGGCCCUUUUUGGGGACAAGGCACACAUCCUUCCCUGCCUGCCCUCGCAGCCAUCGCGCUCCCACUUCCAUGUGGGAAGCUUGCUGGCAGAUUUCAUUAUCAUUCAGCCCAGCCACAACUUCCCAGUUGGGCUGUCAGCGGCAGGAAGCCGGCAGGUUGGCUGGGGCUGCUGGGCUGGUGGGGUUGUUUCUCGAAAUGAGCCCAGAGCGGGGCUGAGCGGGCUCCAGGAAUCCCUGGGGAAGGAGGGAGCUGUGCUGUGCUGCUUCUCAGCGCCACUCGUUGCCCUUGCUUGCUGGCAGUUUUGGCCACCUUUCAGGAAACCAGAGCCAGCUCGAUGGAAACUCAUCACUCUUCUCGCUUUGCAAUGCGCUGGGCGCUUUCUUUUCAUCAACAAAUGGCUCUGAGAGGCCUCGGUCUCCCUGAUGGCUGCGGCAGAAGCGGGUCCCAGGUGCAGACAGUGGCCAUGGGGCCCAGCGGGACCUCACUACAGCUCAGGGACAAGGACACCAUGGGGCCGGGGCUGGUGCUCCCAUGCAGCUCCCCGCACAGCCACUGGCCCUAAAUCCUCCCCCACCUCCUCCAAACCACCGGUGACAGGCAGCAAGAAGAAUUGCUGAGCAAUCCCCACCCCACAGGACUUCAAAGCCAGCGGCUGCUCAGGCCAGGCCCCUCUCCUGCCGGCCGGGCUGGAUGCGGCUGGGCUCUUACUCCUUUGGCAGUCCCGCAGCCGUACACAGAAAGCAAUUACUUAAAAAGGAAAGAAAUGUCACCCGCGUGGCUCCAAGUAAAGCCCCGGGCAGGGCUAACAGAGCACCAUCAGGCUCCGCGUUCUCAUGCAACACGAAGCAGGGAGGAAUGAGCUGUUUCCAUUCAUCUAGAUGGGCUGUUUACUCUGAGGCCUACUGAUGACGUUAGACAUGCCCCCCGUGUGCCUCCAGCUCCACCAGGGCACUUGAUCAGACACAGAGCCGUGCUGCCACUUCUUCCAUCCCAUGGCACCCUCUUCCCCCCCGUGCUGGCUUCAGGCAUCAUCCCCUGCGCAGUAACACGGGCUGGUGCCAAAGGCAGCGACGUCUUGGCACCAAUUCUGCCGUAGCCUUUGGAGAGACGAAAUAGAUCACCAGCACGUUCAAGUAGAAUCGUUUUUAUUUACUUUUAAAAACAGAUAUUGGAAGUCAAAAUCCAAAAAUCAAAUUUCUAAAGCAGGAUGGUGAGGUAAAAUCACACGUGGCCACAGGAGCAAGGCUCAGGGGGGUGCGGGUGCCUGCAGCAGGCCCGGCGCUGCCCGCAGCCUGACCAGGCCCUGCCCGCCCCGAGGGAACCUCAGCGACCCGACAUUAACUGAAGGAGGGCUCAGGCAGACCUCCGACCGCUGGAUGGACUCCAUUUUGGAUAAAACAAAAUAAAAUAAAAC
Anas platyrhynchos (mallard) is the source of this 9556-nucleotide non-coding RNA. The record is from RefSeq and is a predicted model, not a curated record. Lineage: Eukaryota; Metazoa; Chordata; Aves; Anseriformes; Anatidae.